GUGGGGAUAGUGUAACUGGCAACACUCCAGUCUCCAAAACUGGCAUUCUGAGUUCAAAUCUCAGUCUCCGCGCCA
RNAcentral lists this transfer RNA (75 nucleotides) under Aphanothece sp. CMT-3BRIN-NPC111. RNAcentral describes it as "tRNA-Trp". It matches the Rfam family "tRNA". Rfam says of the family: Transfer RNA (tRNA) molecules are approximately 80 nucleotides in length. Their secondary structure includes four short double-helical elements and three loops (D, anti-codon, and T loops). Further hydrogen bonds mediate the characteristic L-shaped molecular structure. tRNAs have two regions of fundamental functional importance: the anti-codon, which is responsible for specific mRNA codon recognition, and the 3' end, to which the tRNAs corresponding amino acid is attached (by aminoacyl-tRNA synthetases). tRNAs cope with the degeneracy of the genetic code in two manners: having more than one tRNA (with a specific anti-codon) for a particular amino acid; and 'wobble' base-pairing, i.e. permitting non-standard base-pairing at the 3rd anti-codon position. The record is from RNAcentral. Lineage: Bacteria; Bacillati; Cyanobacteriota; Cyanophyceae; Chroococcales; Aphanothecaceae.